GGCUCAGGAUUAACGCUAGCGGCAGGCCUAAUACAUGCAAGUCGAACGGCAGCGGGUGUAGCAAUACAUGCCGGCGAGUGGCGCACGGGUGCGUAACGCGUAUGCAAUCUACCUAUAACUGGGGAAUAGCUCUCGGAAACGGGAAUUAAUACCGCAUAACAUCACGAAACGGCAUCGUUUUGUGAUCAAAACUCAGGUGGUUAUAGAUGAGCAUGCGUGACAUUAGCUAGUUGGUGAGGUAACGGCUCACCAAGGCGACGAUGUCUAGGGGGUCUGAGAGGAUGAUCCCCCACACUGGUACUGAGACACGGACCAGACUCCUACGGGAGGCAGCAGUAAGGAAUAUUGGACAAUGGCCGCAAGGCUGAUCCAGCCAUGCCGCGUGCAGGAUGAAGGAGCUAUGCUUUGUAAACUGCUUUUGUUCGGGAAUAAACCCCUCUACGUGUAGAGGGUUGAAUGUACCGAAAGAAUAAGGGUCGGCUAACUUCGUGCCAGCAGCCGCGGUAAUACGAAGGACCCAAGCGUUAUCCGGAUUUAUUGGGUUUAAAGGGUGCGUAGGCGGGUUAUUAAGUCAGUGGUGAAAGCCUACAGCUUAACUGUAGAAUUGCCAUUGAUACUGAUAAUCUUGAGUGUGGUUGAGGCGGGCGGAAUGUGUCAUGUAGCGGUGAAAUGCUUAGAUAUGACACAGAACACCGAUUGCGAAGGCAGCUCGCUAAGCCAAUACUGACGCUGAUGCACGAAAGCGUGGGGAGCAAACAGGAUUAGAUACCCUGGUAGUCCACGCCCUAAACGAUGAUCACUCGAUGUGUGCGAUACACUGUACGCGUCUGAGCGAAAGCAUUAGGUGAUCCACCUGGGGAGUA
This 863-nucleotide ribosomal RNA is filed under the name uncultured bacterium. RNAcentral describes it as "bacterial SSU rRNA". It matches the Rfam family "Bacterial small subunit ribosomal RNA", at positions 21 to 882 of the family's 1533-position model. The record is from RNAcentral.